Molecule: ribosomal RNA, 384 nt
Filed under: Triticum aestivum (bread wheat)
Lineage: Eukaryota; Viridiplantae; Streptophyta; Magnoliopsida; Poales; Poaceae
Description: partial small subunit ribosomal RNA
Source: RNAcentral
AUGGCGGCGAAGGCGGUGCAGUGGCCGGUGAUGGUGGUGGUGGUGAUCAUGGCCGUGAUGGCGGCGCGCGUGGGGGCGGACAUGGACGCGGACCGGAGCGAGUGCGCGGAGCAGCUGGUGGGGCUGGCGCCGUGCCUGCAGUACGUGCAGGGGCAGGCACGGUCGCCGGCGCCGGACUGCUGCGGCGGGCUGAGCCAGGUGCUGGACAAGAGCCCCAAGUGCCUGUGCGUGCUGGUCAAGGACAAGGACGACCCCAACCUGGGCAUCAAGAUCAACGCCUCCCUCGCGCUCGCCCUCCCCUCCGCCUGCGGCAACACCAAGGCCAACGUCUCCCACUGCCCACGUACGUCUCCCUCCUAUUCCUACCUACCUACAUGCAUAUGA